UAAAGUUUACCUUGUUUUUGAAGUCAAUUUUGGUACACAAGGCCUGGGACACGGGUUUCCACACGGCCGUGUGUCUUAAUAUUUUUAGGUGCAAUUUUCUCACAGUUUGGCACAUGUACAAGGCCCGUGACACGACUGUGUGUCCUAAAAUAGUUUGUUACACAAUUUGGGACACGACCAGUGACACAACUAUGUGACCCAACAUCAAAUGCACACAUAGUUAGGCACACGGCCUACGACAAGGUUGUGUGGCCUUAAUUUGAAUAUAC
This 269-nucleotide long non-coding RNA is filed under the name Gossypium barbadense (sea-island cotton). RNAcentral describes it as "long non-coding RNA (GBAR_LNC005652)". Lineage: Eukaryota; Viridiplantae; Streptophyta; Magnoliopsida; Malvales; Malvaceae. The record is from RNAcentral.